GAUUCUGGCUCAGGAUGAACGCUAGCUACAGGCUUAACACAUGCAAGUCAGGGGCAGCAUUGGGAUAGCUUGCUAUUCAGAUGGCGACCGGCGCACGGGUGAGUAACGCGUAUCCAACCUUCCUGCCAGUAGGGAACAGCCCGGCGAAAGUCGGAUUAAUGCCCUAUGUUCUUCAAUGCGGACAUCUAAGUUGAAGGAAAGAUUCAUCGCUGGCAGAUGGGGAUGCGUCCGAUUAGCUUGCCGGCGGGGUAACGGCCCACCGGGGCGACGAUCGGUAGGGGUUCUGAGAGGAAGGUCCCCCACACUGGUACUGAGACACGGACCAGACUCCUACGGGAGGCAGCAGUGAGGAAUAUUGGUCAAUGGGCGUAAGCCUGAACCAGCCAAGUAGCGUGCAAGGAUGACGGCCCUACGGGUUGUAAACUGCUUUUAUGCGGGGAUAAAGUGCGGCACGUGUGCCGCUUUGCAGGUACCGCAUGAAUAAGGACCGGCUAAUUCCGUGCCAGCAGCGGC
RNAcentral lists this ribosomal RNA (513 nucleotides) under uncultured bacterium. Its description in RNAcentral is "bacterial SSU rRNA". It matches the Rfam family "Bacterial small subunit ribosomal RNA", at positions 15 to 518 of the family's 1533-position model. The record is from RNAcentral.